AGUGAACGCUGGCGGUAGGCCUAACACAUGCAAGUCGAACGGCAGCACAGUAAGAGCUUGCUCUUACGGGUGGCGAGUGGCGGACGGGUGAGGAAUACAUCGGAAUCUACUUUUUCGUGGGGGAUAACGUAGGGAAACUUACGCUAAUACCGCAUACGACCUACGGGUGAAAGCAGGGGAUCUUCGGACCUUGCGCGAUUGAAUGAGCCGAUGUCGGAUUAGCUAGUUGGCGGGGGAAAGGCCCACCAAGGCGACGAUCCGUAGCUGGUCUGAGAGGAUGAUUAGGCACACUUGAACUGAGACACGGUCCAGACUCCUACGGGAGGCAGCAGUGGGGAAUAUUGGACAAUGGGCGCAAGCCUGAUCCAGCCAUACCGCGUGGGUGAAGAAGGCCUUCGGGUUGUAAAGCCCUUUUGUUGGGAAAGAAAAGCAGCAGGUUAAUACCCCGCUGUUCUGACGGUACCCAAAGAAUAAGCACCGGCUAACUUCGUG
Molecule: ribosomal RNA, 492 nt
Filed under: uncultured bacterium
Lineage: Bacteria
Description: partial 16S ribosomal RNA
Rfam family: Bacterial small subunit ribosomal RNA
Source: RNAcentral